GCCUUCGUGGUGUAGUGGUCAGCAGUCUCGACGCGUAACCAAGAGGUUCGAGGUUCGAUUCCCGGCGAAGGCG
This is a non-coding RNA of Stegodyphus mimosarum, 73 nucleotides long. The record is from Rfam. Lineage: Eukaryota; Metazoa; Arthropoda; Arachnida; Araneae; Eresidae.